GCCUCGAAGGCUCGAACCCAGACAUCUCCCGAUCUCCGCCUCUCCGCGGCUCCGCCCUCUCUCUGCUUCUCGUUUCGAUUCAAACCCAUAAAUCUCCGCCUCUCCGCCCUCUCGACCUCUCCUUUGAAGUUCUUUCGAUUCAAACCCAGAACUCUCCGCCUCUGGACCUCUCCUUUGAAGUUCGAUUCGAAUCAAACCCAGAAAAUCUCGUAUCAAUUCAUUCGAUUCAUGUCCUCGUACUCUCUUUUUGGCUGAUGGAGAAGGAGAGACGUGAGGAGCUCUCAGAUGAGUGAAGCCUCAGCUCUGGCUAUAGGUACUCAACUGAAUUUGCAGAAUCAACUAAUCAAGGCCUCAUUUGGGUGAACUGUGAACUAUGAAUUAUUGACUUAAAAAUUGUAUGAACUAUGGAGUGAUGAAGGGAGUUGAUGUAUGAGUGAAUAAGUGAUGAACUCAAGUAGUGAAGUUGAUGUAUGAGAGUUUUUAGUUUAUUUUUCAUUUCCAGGUUGGCCCUUCAAAUUG
Molecule: long non-coding RNA, 519 nt
Organism: Rosa chinensis
Lineage: Eukaryota; Viridiplantae; Streptophyta; Magnoliopsida; Rosales; Rosaceae
Exons: 3
Source: RefSeq, a predicted model, not a curated record